UUGUAGCAGUUGCUAGAAUAUACUGGUACUUGAAUUCAAGAUCAGCUAGCUGAGCGCCUCUGGAGCAAGAAAUAACAGAAAAGGGAAGAGCAGAGAAGCAGGCAACAUUUACAAAUAUCUGAUAUUAAUUUUGAGAUUGAUAAUCUUUUUGAAAUGUAAGACCAUCUGUUGCCAUAAAUCUUCAGUUCAAAGUCUGCUAGGCACCAAAAUAUCUAUGCUGAAUAGUUUUUUAUGGAAAUUAUGAGAAGGGGCUGUGUUCUACGUGUGUAUUGUACUGAGAAGUCAGGAAGAGCUUGAGUUGGCUGUAAUUCUAAAGGAUGAAUGGAUGCCCCUAGUGUAUCCUAGCAACCGCUGAAAAGAAAUCAACUCCAGUGAUACAGCUUCAUGAGGCAAAGCUAAAGACCCAUUGAAACACGGUCAGAAGUAACACGGCCUGGACCAUGGACUGUCAGACCCCAAGUGGCCAGUGUAAGCUGACCUUCUGUUAGGAUUCUGCAAAGAUGAAGCAAGAGCAAAAAACUGGCUUAGGCUAAAGGAGGUCUCAUAAAAAUGCCCCCAAAUCACUAUGCUAAAAGCCCAGGUUUAGAGUGAAAGCUUUAGCCCAAGAAGACCUUUCCAUCUCCAUAACAAUGGAGGUCAUAGAAGCCUGUCAAA
This is a long non-coding RNA of Talpa occidentalis (Iberian mole), 654 nucleotides long. RefSeq lists it as uncharacterized. The transcript is spliced from 3 exons. Lineage: Eukaryota; Metazoa; Chordata; Mammalia; Eulipotyphla; Talpidae. The record is from RefSeq and is a predicted model, not a curated record.